RNAcentral lists this non-coding RNA (31 nucleotides) under Mus musculus (house mouse). The record is from RNAcentral. Lineage: Eukaryota; Metazoa; Chordata; Mammalia; Rodentia; Muridae.
UGAAACCUGUCUAUACCUUAAUUUGAUGGCU